UUUCUGGGCAAUAGUAUUGGCCGGUCAGUUUUCCUGCUUGAGAGCUUUGUUCUGUGUCCAUCCUUCCAUCAAUAUUGGCUAUUCUUCAUUGAAUGGCAGUAGUUUGGAUCUUUUACUUUGAAAAAAUUAGAGUGUUUCAAGCAGGCUUUAUGCUAUGAAUACAUUAGCAUGGAAUAAUAAUUUAGGACUUCGGUUCUAUUUUGUUGGUUUCUAGGACUGAAGUAAUGAUUGAUAGGGAUAGUUGGGGGUCUAGUAUUCAGCGGCCAGAGGUGAAAUUCUCGGAUUCGCUGAUGACUAACUUAUGCGUAAGUUCACCAAGGAUUCUUCUUUAUCAAGAACGAAAGUGGGGGAUCUUGACGACAGAUACCGGCGUGUCUUACCUUAACUAUGCCACUAGGGUGAGUGAACGUUGCAUUUUCACUUCAUUCGGACCUUUUGAGAAAUCAAAGUCUUUGGGUUCCGGGGGGAGUAUGGUCGAAGGGUUAAACUUAAAGGAAUUUAAGGAAGGGCACCACCAGGAGUGGAGCCUGCGGUUUUAUUUGACUUCCACACGGGAAAACUUACCAAGUCCAGACACAGUAAGGAAUGACAGAAUUAAGGUCUUUCUUGAUUCUGUGGUUGGGGUCA
Molecule: ribosomal RNA, 627 nt
Filed under: uncultured eukaryote
Lineage: Eukaryota
Description: bacterial SSU rRNA
Rfam family: Eukaryotic small subunit ribosomal RNA
Source: RNAcentral